CUCAGACGCUCCUACUUAUGUCUAAAUAACAUGUUUUUAUUGUUGCUUCUUGAUUUAUAAAUUUUAUGCAUUGUCUAUUCACUUCCAGCUGGGGAGGAUGAAGAUCUAGCACCACACACUAUCUUCUUAUCUUCCCAUUCUGCUUUCAACAUAAACCAGAGACCAUUAGGAACACAGCUGAAAGCAAGUUAAAUUUAUUAUUUUCUGCAACAAAGAAGACCCUACAUCAUAGAGAGCAAAGACAAUAUCACAUUAAUUCCUGUUGCUUCUGAGUCUGGUGGAGAACAGAAACUUGCUUCAUUUUUAAAACCCUGAAACUUAACAUAGAAACUUUAAUGUAAGCAUUUAAAUUAUCAACUUGGAAUGAGAAAGUGAGUCAGACCUGAUAUGCAUCAGCCUAACUGCACCACUCUGGAUUUAGGAGCUGGAAAGGUAUAGAAUUUACUU
Molecule: long non-coding RNA, 447 nt
Filed under: Felis catus (domestic cat)
Lineage: Eukaryota; Metazoa; Chordata; Mammalia; Carnivora; Felidae
Description: lncRNA (ENSFCAG00000040281.2)
Source: RNAcentral